GUUGAAACACCAGUUCUUGUCUGAUCACCGAAGUUAAGCAAUGUUGAACCAGGUCAGUAUCUUGAUGGGUGACCACUUAGGAAUGCCAGGUGCAGUAA
Non-coding RNA from Acanthosepion pharaonis, 98 nucleotides. Lineage: Eukaryota; Metazoa; Mollusca; Cephalopoda; Sepiida; Sepiidae. The record is from the annotation of a GenBank genome assembly.